RNAcentral lists this long non-coding RNA (15780 nucleotides) under Homo sapiens (human). RNAcentral describes it as "long non-coding RNA NONHSAT198333.1". Lineage: Eukaryota; Metazoa; Chordata; Mammalia; Primates; Hominidae. The record is from RNAcentral.
GUUUUGGGAAAGUCAAAAGUUUGACUGCACUGGGGUUUGUUUGUUCCGCUAAGCCCUGCAUUAUUCAAGGGUCAACUGUAGCAGGAACUGCUGUUCCCAUUGCAUAAUAGGAAUUAUUAAUGUCCCAUAUUACAGAGGAGGGAAGGAGGGUGAGAGUGGCUAAAUCACUUGCCCAGGUUCUCGCCUAUUCAGAAGUAGAACCAGGAUCUCCCAAGUUCCAGUGGGAGAUCUCGUCACCGAUGAAGCCCCUUUUGCACCGUGCAGGAAUAUACCUAGGCAGAGUGAAAAGCUCAAGAGUUUUGCUGUUAGACCUGGAUCAAAUUCCAGCUUUGCCAUAUCCCAAGGAGUCCUAGUUUUCCUGUCUUUAAAAUGGCAACAACAACAAAAUCUGUCUCACAAGUUUCUGGGAGGGGUGAAAUGAAAUGAACUAGGAUAGAAAGCCCUGGCAGGCAUGCAACAGAGACUUGGUCAGGUAACCUUGGUUCUUUCCCACAGUCUGGCUCUCCUUUUUGCCCCCUGGAUUGGCCACACCUGCUCUCACCUCUGAGCCCUUGCUCAUGCUGUUCUCUCUGGUUAUAAAUCCCUCCCUGUCUCCUCCUCUUAUCUCACUCAAAACCCAGCUGAGAUUUCAGCAUUUCCAUGCAGACUCCUCCCUUAUACCUGUUCUUCUUUCCGCACUUGGGACUCUGCCAGCACUUGGCAUUUAAUCAGCCACAGUGGAUUUAAGUGUUUCACUUGUGAGUGGCUUAUCUCCCACAUUACACUAGAUAUUCCUUGAGGGCACUGACCAGCCUCCUGCAUCCGUCCGUCAGCUUGGCCCAGCCACAGCUCUGUCUCUUCUUGGUGAGUGGCUCUGGGCACUUGCCCCUUCCCAUCACUGUGCCUAAUCCCUCUCCUGUACACGGUGGGGACCACUGGAGGAGCUCUGGAGACUCCCUCUUGUGAACAUUAGGUGAGUAAGUGAAACUGGGCUGAGUCUACAAUAGGAAGUGACCAGCAGGAACUGGUUGGGUUUUCCAGUAACCCCUAUGGACCAGACAUUGCACCCAGUACCUUGGAACUUCUCUAGUUGUCAGAAAGGCCCUAGGACAUUGUGUGUUUAUAGCUUAAGAAUGUGAACUUUAAAGGGAUACAUAACUUAAUUGGCAAUAAUUGGUUGAGAAUGAUUUCUUACUGAUGAUCACAUAUUUUUUACGCCAUGCACUGUGCCGGGAAUUCAGAGAGAUAUAUAAGGCAGACAUGGCUAUCAUAGGUACAAAUGGUUGGGGCCGACUUCGCAGGUGGUAAAAAAAUUUACCAAGACAGUUAUAGGUAAAGAAAGGCAGAUUUAUUAGACAAAGUAUGAAAAUAUGUUGCAAGGUUGCAACAGGCAGCAACAGCAGAGAAGGGGCUGUGUGUAAAGAGGCAGGGGCUGGAGGGAGCUAAUUUCGGUGGGUUGUUUGUGAUUAGCCAUCUCUCAAAUAACAAUUGUUCAUUUUUCUUCCCCACGUGGGGCCCUGCCCUACCUGGGGCCCCUUCCUAGUGACUGCUUACUUACCAGGACUCCAAAAUGGUCCCCAGCUUGCUUCAGAGAGCUCACAGCCAAGAUGACAAGUGAGACCAUCAACCAUCAGUCCACUACCACCCUCAUAUCAUUGUUUUAUAUGUAUGAGAACCACCAUCAUCAUGGCAGUUACCUCCAAUUCAGCACCUUUUACAGAUCAUCACCAGGUAAUUCUACAUGCACUACCUCAUUUAUUCCUCAAAACAUCCUGAAGAAGGGGAAUUAUCCUUCACUGAUAUUCUCCAAGUGCCUGGGGCAGUGUGUGGCACAUUACAGAGGGUAACUAAAUUUUAAUUGAAUGACUUUGUUACAGGCAGUUAGACAGGCACAAGCCGCGCAGGAGAGGGCUCUCCCACCAUCCACUAGGAAUGUUGGGUGAUGGUUUGGUAAUGAUCACAUUCCCUCUCUAAAAUUUAUAAACUCGCAGCCAACACCAGAGACAGAGAUCAUUUCCUGAUGAUCCACACCUUUUGCACCAAAGUGUUAAUUGAAUGCAGGUGCCGGGGGAGACUGAGGCAGAAGAAUCGCUUGAACCCAGAAGGUGGAGGUUGCAGUGAGCAGAGAUCGCGCCACUGCCCUCCAACCAGGGUGACAGAGCGAGACUCCGUCUCAAAAAAAAGAAAAAAAGAAAAGAAAGAAAGAAAAGAAAAGAGACAAAAUGGCAGAGUCUGACCUUCGGACCUUCGGGGCACUCUGCUGGAAAAGCGAUGAUGGGCAUGUGCACCACUUCCUAAACACAUUGCGCAUGCUCACCUCCGGAGGGUAAGGAAGGCGCGGUGGGUGCGGGCAGCCCACCCCAAGGGAAGAAUCAUGGGAAAAGGGCCAGCCUAUAAAGUCCUAGGAUCAUCGCACUUGUCCUCGGUGCCCACUUGGGUCUCUUCCAAGUGUACUUUCCUUUCCUUUCUUUCCUGUUCUAAAGCAUUUAAAGAAACUUUUACUCCUGCUCUGAAACUUGCCUUGGGCUCCUUUUCUGCCUUAUGCCCCUCUGUCAAAUUCUUUCUCCUGAAGAGGCAAGAAUUGAGGUUGUUGCAGACCCAUACGGAUUCACCACCCGGUACCUUCCAUGGGAUACUUUACGCUGGUAACAUGUUCCCAUUUCACAAAUAAGGUUCAUGGAGGUUUGCCCAAAUGCAUGGGAAAUGUGAGGCUGGGACCCAAGGUGUGAGUGCAUUUUGCUCCUUCAAGUUACUGGUAACUUGGUUGGUAAAAGAAAUACUAAUUCUUUGCUUUCCUCAUUUACCCUCACUCCCUUCCCUAAGUUACUAUGUUCCCGGUUUUGCUUCCAGCAGCUUCUCACUCAGCUGCCAUGCAUUGACUUCCCUGUUGAUCCAGCCUACUGCGGACCCAAAUAUUCCUGUUGCCAGAUAGGAGGGAUGAGUAAUGGAGACUCCAGUCCUCAGAGACCUUGAUCAAGUAAAGCAAAAACCCCUUCCUCCACUUUCUUUGCAAGUGGCUAAACCCUUAGUCACUCUGGGAAGAAAAGUAAACUGAAAACUUGAAAAAGUCCCAAGACAGAAUCUAACUCCAUCCCCUGCCCCAGAUAAAAAGCAAGAUAGCACAACUAUAGCAACCUUUUAAGUCAAAUUAAAUGAGCUAAUAAAAAUCAGGCCUGUUCAAGUGCCCAAUUGAUUUAAACAUGAAGAUUGUCAGUUUCCAGCAUCACUGAUUCUAAUCCAACAACCCUCACCAUAGAGGUCUUCAUUCAGCCUGCUGUGUUUGGAGGUUUUGCUUAUUGGGUGUGUAUCUGUAAGGUAAAUCUUGACGAUUUCCUUACUACAGACAAUUAUCUGGCUGGAGAUGUCAUGUUUUAGACCUUGGCCAUCUUGUGCAAGUUACAGAAGUUUUGCCAAAGACACUUUGCUUCUAUCCGGGUUUAUAUCCCUGACCAUCCACUCAACCAUCACUUAUCCAUUCACUCAGCAAGUAUGAAUCACUUAUCCAUUCACUCAGCAAGUAUGAAUCACUUAUCCAUUCACUCAGCAAGUAUGCCAUGGCUGUGUGCCAGGCAACACUCUCAGCACAGCAUAUAUGGAGCUCCCUGACUAGUAGAGGGAUGUAGAGGAUGGACAAGUGAUCAGGCAAUAAGAGCACAGAGAGAGCCUGGAUCUGUGCCCUCUUGGCCCCUCCAGGUCUGGGCUUCAUUAACAAUCUCCCCUCUUCUGCAGCAUCCUCAGCUUCUCCCUCUCUACCUUCCCCUAAUACCAUAAAACUCAUCCACUGGCCUGGCGGUCCCUCCUAGGUAUCAUCCUACUUUUCUCCUUCCUCAUCCAGACUUCUAAACAGAGUAAUCUACAUCCUCAAUGCCUACCUUACCUUCACUUCACACCUCAACCCCCAGUAAUCCAUCCACCAAGAGAGUCCCCACAGCAAUCCAUCCACCAAGAGAGUCAUAACUGCUCUUUCUAAAGUCACCUACAACCUCCUAAGUUCUGUGAACCCCCAAAAUUUGACACAGGUCUCAGUUAAUUUAGAAAGUUCAUUUUGGCAACUUUGAGGAUGCAUACCCAUGUCACAGCCUCAGAAAGUCCUGAUGACGUGAACCCAAGGUGGUCAGGGCACAGCUUGGUUUUAUACAUUUUAGGGAGAUUUGAGACAUCAAUCAGUAUAUGUAAGAAGUACAUUGGUUCUGUCCAGAAAGGCGGGGACAACUCAAAGCAGGGAGGGGGCUUCCAGGUCACAGGUAGGUGACAGACAAAUGGUUGCCUUCUUUUGGGUUUCUGAUAAGCCUUUCCAAAGGAGGCCAUCAGAAUAUGCAUCUAUCUCAAUGAGCAGAGGGAUGAGUUUGAAUAGAACGGGAGGCAGGUUUGACUGGAGCAGUUUCCAGCUUGAAUUUUCCUUUUAGCUUAGUGUUUUUGGGAGCCCAAGAUAUUUUCCUUUCACAGUCCUAAGAAGCAGAUACUCUUUGUCUCUUAUUUACCACCAUAUUUAAUGCUACUGAUCACUCCAGCCUCUGCUCCCAGGAAGCUUCUUUCUUCUUGUCUUCUCAGAUCUUUCAUUCCUUGUCUAUAGCUUUGUAGAUUCUUCUUCCUUUCACUUCUCAGUGCUGGUGCUCCCCAAACAACCCGCCCACUUUUCUAGAUGCUCCUUCUCCCUGGGACAUCUCAUUUACUCUCAGGGUUUUAACUAGAAUUUACCUACUGGUAGCUUUAUUUAUUUAUUUUUGAGACAGAGGUUCACUCUUGUCACCCAAGCUGGAGUGCAAUGGUGCAAUCUUGGCUUACUGCAACCUCUGCCUCCCAGGUUCAAGCGAUUCUACUGCCUCAGCCUCCUGAGUAGCUGGGAUUACAGGCAUGUGCCACUUCGCCCAGCUAAUGUUUGUAUUUUUAGUAGAGACGGGGUUUCAUCAUGUUGGCCAGGCUAGUCUGGAACUCCUGACCUCAGGUGAUCCGCCUGCCUCAGCCUCCUAAAGUGCUGGGAUUACAGGAGUGAGCCACUGCGCCCGGCCUACUGGUGCCUUUAAUAUCCAAAUCUCCAGACAGAGAACACUCAAUAUUUGAACUCAAAUUGAAUGCCUGCUAGACAUUUACACUUGGAUGUUCUAUAAGCAACUUAAACCCAACUUGUCCCAAACAAAACUCAUCAGUCACCAUUCUUUAAACCUGUUUUUUUGCUACUUUUGUAUUUUUAUUUUAGUUUUUAAAUUUUAUUUUUAUUUUUAUUUAUUUAUCUUGAGACAAGCUCUGGCUCUGAUGCCCAGGCUCUGGAGUGCAGUGACAUGAUCUUGACUGACUGCAACCUCUGCCUCCCGGGCUCAAGCCAUCCUUCCACCUCAGCUUUGCAAGUAGCUGGGACUACUGGCAUGUGCCACCAACCCUGGCUAAUUUCUGUGUGUGUGUGUGUGUGUGUGUAUAUAUAUUUUGUUUGUUUGUUUGUUUGUUUGUUUGUUUGUUUUUGUAGAGACAUGGUUUCACCAAGUUGCCCAGGCUGGUCUCAAACUUGUGAGCUGAAGAGAUCUGCCUGCCUUGGCUUUCCAAAGUGCUGGAAUUACAGGCAUAAGCCACCACGCUCGGCCCUGUAUUUUUAUUUUUAAUCUCAGUUAUUGGCACUAAAAUUCAGUUGAUUAUCCAAAUAUGAAGCCUGGCUUUUGUCUUCACUAUGACCUCUCAAUUUUUCAAAAAAAUCAAAGUUGAAUCUAAUUUGUGUCCUUUCUGUUACUUCCUUUUCAGCUCCUUCUCAUCUCUCACCUGGGUAAGUUCUAUCUCCUUCCACCUUAUGCCCUUUUCAGCCUUACCAUCUCCCACCUUGGCCCUUAUUUCCGUGGUUCAGUUGGUCUCCCAGGCUCAUCCCUCAUGGCCCACAGCUCUGUCUACUGAAUUGCUGCCAGAGAGGUCUUUAUUAAAAUCCAUAUCUGACCAUGUUGCCUCCAUACCUAAAACCCCUCAAUGGAGCCUGGACACGGAUAGGAUAAAAUAUCAACUCCUUAACCACGUGUGCUGGGUAUCCUCCACCUGCCUUUCUGGACUCACUCACCACCUUUCUCGUCCUUCUCCGACCUGGAAGGCUGACCUCCACCUACUGCCUCAGCUGAGCCUUCUUCCUUCUGGAUGGGUUUGGCCAUUGGGAGGCAUGAGAAAGAUGUCAGAAUGCAGGAGAGAAAAAUAGCUGGGAUAUUUACUCUCUUGCCUCCAUUUCAACCCAGCUGCAGGCUUCUCUACCAGAAGCUCCAGCUCCAGUGGUGUGUGGUGGUGGUAGCAGGAGGGGGUCCCUAGUGUUAAAGCCACAGCCACCGUUCUUUCUUGAGUUCUGGUCUCCCUCUUUGCCUCUUUUAGCCUACGGGAGGUGGUGGCUCUUGGACUUGCAGUUGCUAGCCCAGGUGUCUCGUAACCCAUUGUUGGUUUCCCUUAACUCUGCCCGCAUCCUUGCUAACAGGCCCCCCAUUAAUACUCCUCAGCCACUCUGUAUGUUGUGCCUGCUACCUGCUAAGACUCUCAUCUUUGUGCUCCCCCAUUCUAUCCUCAGGCAUUGCAUCCCAGCAGCACCGCACUGCUUCUGCUUGGUUUCUCCACAGGAGCCUUGCUUUUCCUCACCUCCAAGCCUUUGCCCAGGCUAGCCCUCUGCCUACAGCACCCUUCCCAUUCCUCCUUACAUGGUCUAAUGACCCUCUGAAGCGUCAUCUCUUAAAAGGCUUCUGUCUGUCCCAGGCUAGGUGUAGGUCUCUGCCCACUUUCAUUGCAUCUGACACAUUCCUGUUAAAUCAUUCCCUUCUCUUAGCACUUAGGAGCACAAAAUUUAAUGAUAGGUUGCCUGUGUUCAAACUCUGGUCCUGCCUCAGUUUUCCCCUCUAAAAAGGAAAAAUCCCUACCUCAUAGGAUCAUGGUAGUUCAUAAAUGAAACCAUGUGCGCUGAGUACGUAACACAGUGCUGGACAUAUAGAAACACUUGGCAACUGUGAGCUUUCAGUCUCUGAAACACACUAGCUUUUUAAUCUUUAUUUAUUUAGCAUAGAUUUCGCUUAGAAAUCAUCCCAGCUAACUCAUUCAUGUUUUUUAGCCAGUACCUAUGAGUGAGUACAUCCAUUGCUUCCAGUCUUUGGUACUGUAAAUAAUAAAAUAAAAGCUAAAAAAAAAAAAACAGAAGAAAAACAAUGUCAUCAUGAACAUCUUUACACACACAUCUUUGUGAUGUGCAAAUAUAUGUAGCAUAAAUCUCUGGAAAUGACUGUGAUUUUAUUUUUAAAAUUUAAUUAAUAAUUAAUUUAAAUUAUUUAUUUAUUUUUUGAGACAGGGUCUUGUGCUGCCACCCAGGCUGGAGUGCAGUGGCAGCACAAUCAUAACUUACUCUGCAGCUUCUAACUCCUGGGCUCAAGCAAUCCUCUUGCCUCACCCUCCUGAGUAGAUGGGACUACAGGUGUGUGCCACCAUGCCUGGCUAAUUUUUUGUACUUUUUGUAGAGAUGAGGUUUCACCAUGUUUCCCAGGAUAGUCUUAAACUCCUGGGCUCAGAACAAUCCACCCGCCUCAGCUUCCCAAAGUGCUGAGAUUACAGGCAUGAGCCACCACUCCCGGCCUGGAUUGUGAUUUUAAACUCAGAGAGCUAUUGACAGAUUCUUCUGAAAAUGGGUUGUCCUCAUUUGCAUUCUCCCCACUAGUGUGGCUUCUCUCUCUGUAGUCUACACUCAUGCCUUCCCUCAUGACUUAAAGAAUAUUUUCGUCCAGAAAAGAUCGUAUUCAUUAAACAAGCUAAACUAAAGCAGCAAUGCUCAGAGUGCCCGUCACUGCCUUGCGGACUCUCAGAUCCAUCGCCCCACACUCCCCACUGGUCUAUAUGGGGUUGAGGUGAGGCUGUGGAUGCAGACUCAUUUCCCAGGCUCCCCUGCUCAUUGCUUCUGAUGAGAUGUGGCCAGUAGGAGCAGAGGAAGGGAAGAAGCCAAGACAUUGCUUCUCUCUGUUUCUGGUGGCAUUUUCAGCAGUCACUGUGACUCCAGUGUCCCUGAAGUGGUUGCUCUCUCCAGGGUUCCAUUGCAGCUGCAGGCUUGCCAAAGUUUCCUGGCUCCAGCUGGGUGCCCUGGCCCCCGGGCUUUGGCAACCCCGCCUCCACCAUUUGUCAUUCCAGCCAUGGGGCUUCCCGUGGGAAGCUUCUGGCUGUUGGAUUGCUCCAUUGUGCCCAGGUUGCCCUUUUAGCUUUUCCAAUAUCUUUGUAACUGGUUUUCCAUUUUAUUUUUAUUUAAUUAAUUUAUUUAUUUGAGAUGGAGUUCCACUCUUGUCCCCCAGGCUGGAGUGCAAUGGUAUGGUCUCGGCCCACUUAAACUCCACCUCUCGGGUUUAAGAGAUUCUCCAGCCUCAGCUUCCCGAGUAGCUAGGAUUACAGGUGCCCGCCACCACGCCCAGCUAAUGUUUGUAUUUUUAGUAGAGACGGGGUUUCACCAUGUUGGCCAGGCUGAUCUGGAAAACCUGACCUCAGGUGAUCCACCCACCUUGGCCUCCCAAAGCUGGGAUUACAGGGGUGAGCCACCACACCCAGCCUGGUUUCCCAUUUUUAAUCACCUCUGUUGAACUAUCUAUUUCAGUUUUGUCUCAUUCCCUCACCUCUUCUUAACUGGACACUGACCCGGGGUUGACAAGACCGAGGAGAAAUGGCCACAUUCUUAUACUGUUGGUGGGAAUGGAAAUUGUUGCAGAAUUUUUUGGCAGGCAGUUUGGCAGUCCAUACCAAAAGUUUUAAACAUGUGUACUCUUGCCUUAUCUUUGAGAGAUACGUGUUAAAUACUCAUGAAUGAAAUGACAUGCUGUCUGGAAUUUGUUUCAAAACAAUCCAGGGAGUGGGGAUAAGUAGGAUCUCGCAUAGAUGCAACAAGAUGGGCCACGAGCUGACAGUUGUUUGAGCUGGAUGACGGAUACGUUGGCACUCAUUACUCUGGUCCUCUUUACUUAUAAAUGUUUGACUUCUUCAAUAAUAAAAACUAUUUUCUGGCCAGGUACAGUAUCUGAUGCCUGUAAUCCCAGCUCUUUGGGAGGCCUAGGCGGUAGGGUUGCUUGAGGCCAGGAGUUUGAGACCACCCUGGGCAACACAGUGAGACCCCAUCUCUACAAAAAAUAAAAAAAAUUAACCAGAUGUGGUGGUGCAGGCCUGUAGUCCUAGCUACUCAGGAGGCUGAGGCAGGAGGAUCACCUGAGCCCAGGAGUUAGAAGCUGCAGUGAGCUAUGAUAGUGCCACAGCUGCACUCCAGGCUGGGUGACAGAGUGAGACCCUGUCUCAAAAAAAAAAAAAAUUCCCAAAACCCCCUGAUUUCCAAAAGCAAAAUCUUGGACCUUGGAGAAUGAUUUAAAAAAACAAAUUCUCUUCAAGGAUGGGUUUUAACGGCGUUGUUUAUAAUAACAAACAAUUGACAACAUUCUGAUUUUCCAGCAGUGGGAUGGUCCUGUCAUAACUUACAAUAUAUCCACACACAAAACACGAUUCCGACUUGAAAAGAUGUUGCAGCAUUCGUGAUUUUUUUUUUGGAUUUGUGAUAUUUUAAGUGAAAGAAAAGAUAUCAGCCUGUGAUAUUACCAUCCAAUUAAAAGAUUUGUGUAUGUGUCUAAGGAGGAUUUGUGCCCAAGCGCGAAGGGUGGUGCCUUCGAAUGGGCGGGCCUGUGCUCUUUCUUCCUUUGACUUGUUUGUGCUCUCUGGUUGGUUUGUUGUUAUGUACAAUCAUUACUUUCAAAUUCUAAAAAAAAAAAAAUGAAUACAUUCUUUCUUCCUUCCUCCCUUCCUUCUUUCAAUGUCUCUUUUUUUUUUUUUUUUGAGACGGAGUCUUGCUCUAUUGUCCAGGCUGGAGUGCAGUGGUGUGAUCUUGGCUCACUGCAACCUCCACCUCCCCAGUUCAAGUGAUUCUCCUCCUUCAGCCUCGCGAGUAGCUGGGACUACAGGCGCCCACCACCACGCCCAGCUAACUUUUUGUAUUUUUAGUAGAGAUGGGGUUUCACUGUGUUAGCCAAGAUGGUCUCCAUCUCCUGACCUCGUGAUCCACCCGGCUCUGCCUCUGAAAGUGCUGGGAUUACAGGUGUGAGCCACCGUGCCUGGCCUCAAUGUCUCUUUUCAAAGGGGCAGGGCCCUGGUUGACGAUGUGCAUGUAUUGGGGUAGGGAAGCCAGUGGGUCCCACCUUGGCUUCUUUUUAGUAAAUGUCAGUUGUCUGCUCAACUUUUCCAGGCAAGGCUUAGGAAAAAAAUGGGCAUAGGCUAGGGACAGAGGGAGGGAAGAGAAAAAGGAGUACUAAAGAAGAUGGGGUGGCCACAACAUCUUCCACACAACAAAGUGGCUAAACACAGAUGCCACAAUCAAGAGUGUGGGUGAGGGUGUGCAGUUGACAGUGGGAGGUGCUGCCUGGCAUGGCCCCUUCCCAUGCCCCCAGCCAUCCUGGCCUUGUUCCCUCUUGCAUGUUUAUGUCUAUUGUACUACGUGGUCCUCCCUCCUGGACGCUGCCUCUGUUUUGCCUUUGCAUUUGACUACUGACACCUGCCCCUCAGCAUGUCAAUCUCUCUCUCUCUUUUUUUUUUUUUUUGAGACAGAGUCUCACUCUGUUGCCCAGGCUGGAGUGCAGUGGUGCGAUCUCAGCUCACUGCAACUUCCACCUCCCAGGUCUAAGUGAUUCUCCUGCCUCAGCCUCCUGAGUAGCUGGGAUUACAGGCACCCACCACCACGCCUGACUAAUUUUUUUUAUAUUUUUAGUAGAGACAGGGUUUCACUAUGUUGGACAGGCUGGUCUCAAACUCCUGACCUGUGGUUAUCUGCCCGCCUCAACCUUCCAAAGUGCUGGGAUUACAGGCGUGAGCCACUGUGCCUGGCCCAGGAUGUCAAUGUCUCUUGAUGAUCCUUUUCAAUAUCUGCUUUUCCACCUGCUGACCCAUUUUUGGCAACGUGGUCUAAUAAUAAGGAUAAAUAACCGAGCACUGGGCUAUGUCCCAGAAAUGUUGUCAGGAGCUUCAUAAACACCAUCUCACCGAAUCCUCCCUGCACUCUGCCGUGGUGAUAACAUUCCCCCAAAGCACAGACAAGAAGGCUAAGACAAUCAGAGAAAUGAAAUGACUGUCUGAGGCCUCCCCAGACAGUGGGAGGCAGAAUGAAUUUGAAACCCAGGGCUCUGCUCAUUCCACUGCCUGGGGCUGCCUCCCCGGCAGACUCCUCUGCUCCAGUAUGAGUGCUUGAGAGCACAGCUGCCCGGGGAGGUUCCAGGCUCUGCUCUUACUAACUCUGUGACCCUGGAAAGUGACAAAACUCCUUACACUCCCUGGACAGUCUUGACAAUAGGGUGGUCGUGAAGAUGAAAGAGCUUAUGCAGGGAAAGCAGUUUGAACAGUGCCCAGAGGAGUGGACCUCCACUUUGGGUGUCCAGUGCGAUCGCUCGGAGUGCUUUAAAAAUUCCUGAGCUGUCCACCCCUACAAUUCUGAUGGGACUGCUCUGGGGUGCAGCCUGGGCAUCAGGAUUUUCUAAAGCUCCCCAGGUGAUUCUAACCUGUAACCAGGGCUGGGAACCACUGCCUCUAGCAUGCAGGAAGCACCUAAUAAAUGUUGGCUAGAACUCUUUUGUCCUGUCUGGCCCCCACACCUGCUUCUGCUCUGAAGCCAUGACCACUCCCCUCCCCACCCUUGCCCUGCCUGGUUUCCCAGCGACUAAGGGGUUGGCUUUGGGCUUUUCCAACAACAUGGGCACAUAUGCCAGGAUGGUCCAUCUGGGUCCUUGGAUUCCUGCCGUUGCAAAACCCCAGCCUACCCUGGGGCUACCAAUGUUUGGCUUAGAGCAAGCUUCAUACUCAGUCCAGGAAAGACAAUUCCAGGAACUGAAUUCACAGUUGUGUUAAUGGGAGUGGGUGUAGAAGGAGGUGGCACUUUCAGCUUUGAGGGGCCCUAGAUAACUCUGGGACUCUCCUAUGACAUCACUCACCUUGGCUACUUUCAAUGGGAGGGGGCUGUUGCUUUACUUCGGAAGCUAGUGCUGACAGCAUUUGGUAGCAAAUGUGCCACUACUAAAUCACAUUGUGCCUGGCAGUCAGGUUCUGGAGGCAGUGCUUAUGUUUGUAAAAUUUAUUUUAGUCAAAAUCACAUUUGACAACCUUUCUUUUGUUGGGUACCAGAUAAAGGCAUUGGUUUGCAUUUAGAGCAAAAAUAAAAUACCUAUUUUUAAACACUGGAAGACCAGAGACAGACAGAAAAGAAGCAAACUCCCAUCCGCUAUCUUAAGUACACCCCGGGCACAUUUUCACUGCAUCCAAGGGUGGAUUAAGUUGCUUACAGUAUUCAUGUCUUUACACUUCUCUCUUUCCCCCUCCACAGCAGGACACAUAUUGUUGAAGGAGCCUAAGUGAAUUGUGAAUGUGCUACAACUUCACCGUAGUCCAGUUGUUCUCCACUGUGGGUAACUUCAUCUCCAGGAGGCAUUUAGCAACUUCUGGACAUAUUUUUGGUUGUCAUAACAGGGGGAAGGUUGCUACAGUCAUCUAGGUACUAGGGCCAGGGAUGCUACUCCACAGCCAAGUAUGCACAGGGCUGUUCCCUACUCCAGGGAAUUAUCAGCCCAAACUCUCAACUUUGUCGAGGUUGAGAAACGCUUCGGUAACCUCUGAGGUUUAUUGAGCAGCUGCCAUGCACUGCGUGGGUGCUAAGAAUAGAGUAGGAAGCGAAGCAGAUCCAUUCUCUGCUCACCCAGCGCCCACAGCAAGUGGCAUCCUGAUUCUUAUCAGUGGCUCCCCUGAGCACCAAGAUCUAAGAGCAGUGAAGGUAGGGGCUGCUGUACCCACAGGAGGGUCUCCAGGACAACCAGCCACCCAGGAGCCUGAGCAGGAGGAGCCUGUAGGAAGUGAGCUGGAAGUCAGGUUAAGAAAGUCGCAGAGGCUACUCAUAGGCGCCAGCUUUGUCUCCAUCUUCCUCCUUCGUCAUGCAAAGUGCUUCUGUGAACUUCAUGAGCAUGGGGUUCUUAAGGCCCAUUGGGUAGAGGCUUUAGGAACCCCAUGAUCAUGCUGCACACAGCCAGGCUCCAUCUCACAGGCAGGUCCUUGGCAUGGCCUAUCUUGAGUCUGGUGUAGCUUUUUUUCAAAAAUUGCCUUCUUAUCUCCUGUCUCAGCUAAUUGGUUCCUUCAUUCACUUACUUAUAACAAAAAUUUAAUGAGAAUACAUAUGUGUAAGGACCUAGAUUUAGGUUUUAAUUAUGAAUAGUUCUUAUUGGAUGCAUAUUCCAGACCCAUUUUAGAAAUGGAAAAUGUGAGAUGAAAUAACUUGUUACAGGUCACUUUUCUUUUACUCUGGAGCCCGUAAUCAUUGCCCCUGCAGUGAUUUCUCUCCUUCUCUUUCAUAUACUCAACCAAUAUUUAUGGAGGAUCCACUGUGUGCUGGGCAUGCACUGAGCACCAGGGCUAUGAUGGUGGACAAGACAGAUUUCAUUUCUGCUGUUAUUACCUACAUUGUAUUAGUCUGUUCUCUUGCUGCUAAUAAAGAUAUACCUGAGGCUGGGUAAUUUAUAAAGGAAAGAAAUCUAAUGGAAUCACAGUUCCACAUAGCUAGGGAGGGCUCCCAAUCAUGGCAGAAGGCAAAUGAGGAGCAAAGUUAUCUCUUAUUUGACUGCAGGCAAGAGAGAGCUUGCGGAGGGGAACUACCCUUUAUGAAAUCAUGAGAUGUCAUCAGACUUACUAUCAUGAGAACAGCAUGGGAAACACCUGCCCCUCAUGAUUCAAUUACCUCCCACUGGGUCCCUCUCAUGAUGUGUGGGAAUUAUGGGAGCUACAAUUCAAGAUAAGAUUUGGGUGGGGACACAGCCAAACCAUAUCACACAUUUUCAACUACUUUAUGGAAACUCCCCCUGGAGAGCUCACCUCAAGCGCUCCAGGUCCCAAGCCAGCCUUCUUCUAGAAUCUUCUCCCCAUCCCUCCCAUUCUUCAGAGGGAGUCUCAAAAAGAUUUUCUUGGAUAUUGCUGCAUGAAAUGGUGAGCAUUGUACACAGCACAUUAUGCAAACCAACACAUCAGAGGAUGGCUGGUGUCAUAUCUGCUUGAAAGCUUUCAGCCCCAAACACUUUGGCAUUCCUGCCAUUUCUGCCAAAAACAACUUCGGAGAGAGGCUGGGGAAGGAGGCUAGGUGAGAUCUGUUGGAUUCCAGAGAUUCAAGUCAGCACUGGUGUGACUGUGAGUUACCACACAGAGCUGGGGUGCCCGAAGGAAGAGACCCUCUUUCUGCCGAGAUGUGGUUUUAUAAGGAAAGAGAGACAUUCCCACUUCUGAGUGGCUUUAGGGGGUACAGACAUGCCAAUCUUCAGCACAUCUUACCUACCGAAAAAUUUCCAUCUUUUGCUGUCAAAACAAGUCAUAUCUUAAAGACCACACACACAGAGAAAGUUGGCUUCUCUACUUCAUAUCCAGAAAGUUCUCAGGGAGAAAAUAUGUAGCACUAAGGUGAAUAGAAGUCAAUGUAGCCGGGCACGGUGGCUCAUGCCUGUAAUCCCAGCACUCUGGGAGGCCAAUACGGGUGGAUCACCUGAGGUCAAGAGUUAAAGACCAGCCUGGCCAACAUGUUGAAACCCUGUCUCUACUAAAAAUACAAAAAUUAGCUGCGCGUGGUGGCAGGUGCCUGUAAUCCCAGCUAUUCGGGAGGCUGAGAGAGGAGAAUCGAUUGAACCUGGGAGGCAGAGGUUGCAGUGAGCUGAGAUCAUGCCACUGCACUCCAGCCUGGGUGACGAGAGCGAAACUCCGUCUCAAAAAAAAAAGAGGAAAAGAAAAAGAAAAAAGGUAAAAAAAGAAAGUCAAUGUAAAUCUGUGGAGCCUCUAUUUACAUAUUUCUUUUUACUGUGUUCUUAAAACAUCCCCUCAGCAUAUGACUAUGAUCGGAGGCUGAGUGCAAUGGAAGUGUUCACUUCUAGAACUUUCUCUCUGUAAGGACAGGAAGAAGAUAUAUAUGUGGAAUGGACUGAUGGAUAUUGUUCAUUGUCAAGUUUGGCCUACAUCCAGAGACCAUAAAUGUCACUCUUCUAUCACUGAGUGAAGAAAAUCAUGCACUUCAGAGGCAGAAAGGGCUUGGGACCUCCAGGCCAGGGAUUCCCAUUAUAGGCUCUGCCAUUUAAUAACUUCAUAACCCUGGGAAGGUUCCUCGGCUUCUCUCAGCCUCACUUUCCUCAUCUAGAAAAUGAAGGUGAGACUCCUACCAGAUGGAGUUGUGGGGGAUUCACGAGACAAUGGAGCAAAACCACUGGCACACAGUGGGUGAUCCAUAAUGGUGGCUCCUGGCCACUUGUACUACAGACACAAAUAAACAAAACCAAAAACCUUCCACAGUUAGAGAGUUUUCACUGGGAAUUUUGACUUCCCUCUACAAUUCAGUCUCCUGCUGUGGACUUUAAGUGGUCAGUGGUGUUGAACAACUAUUAUCUAACUAUUGGCAUAGUAUUAAGAGAUUCAGAGAUAUUGACCAAUGUCAGUGUUUCAGGACCCUUAAUAAUGGGUGGGUUUCAUGAUUCCAUUGUCAAGAUGAGCUCAUUUCUGCUCAGAAGAUUAAAUAAUUGGCCCUGAGACUGGUUAUCUAUCAGCAGAAGCAAACUUUGUGCUGAGAUCCAGGUCACUCUUCCAUGGUAGAGGCAAAACUCCUUCCAGUUCUGCCAGUGACCAGAGGCCAGGAGUGAACUCAAACCAGCAACUGCGGGCCUGGAGGAGUUUAAGGAGGUUUUGGGUCUGUUCUCCAAUGUUCUUGCCAACCCAUAACAAACCUGAUGACUGUUGAGUGACUCCUGGAGGAGAUUAUUAUUCUUUUUCUAUCUCAGGGCUAUGUUACAUAUGUGGAGG